GAGUAACACGUGGGUAACCUACCUAUAAGACUGGAAUAACUUCGGGAAACCGGAGCUAAUGCCGGAUAACAUAUAGAACCGCAUGGUUCUAUAGUGAAAGAUGGUUUUGCUAUCACUUAUAGAUGGACCCGCGCCGUAUUAGCUAGUUGGUAAGGUAAUGGCUUACCAAGGCGACGAUACGUAGCCGACCUGAGAGGGUGAUCGGCCACACUGGAACUGAGACACGGUCCAGACUCCUACGGGAGGCAGCAGUAGGGAAUCUUCCGCAAUGGGCGAAAGCCUGACGGAGCAACGCCGCGUGAGUGAUGAAGGUUUUCGGAUCGUAAAACUCUGUUAUUAGGGAAGAACAAAUGCGUAAGUAACUGUGCGCAUCUUGACGGUACCUAAUC
This 389-nucleotide ribosomal RNA is filed under the name Staphylococcus succinus. Its description in RNAcentral is "bacterial SSU rRNA". It matches the Rfam family "Bacterial small subunit ribosomal RNA", at positions 108 to 484 of the family's 1533-position model. The record is from RNAcentral. Lineage: Bacteria; Bacillati; Bacillota; Bacilli; Caryophanales; Staphylococcaceae.